AUAACCUGACUAGGACUAGGAUGCAUCAUGUUUUCUAUUCUUGCGUGUUGAUAUGGUUGAGUGCAGGUUCCCGUUAUCUUUAAAGAUAGUUUCAUAGCAGGAGGCUGAACUAUCUGGGUAACAGUUUGAUUGAGUUGUUUAGUAUUGAUAUUAUUGUUUAAUUGUUGGUUUUAGUGGUCUUAGGCCAUAUAGGCCGGAUUACUGGUACUAUUGGUUACUCUUGUAGAGUCGAGUGUCUAGUUAGGAUCUGGAACUUUAGCCUUAGGUUAGGUUCUAGAUUGAGUUUGUGUUGUGUGAGUGUUGCCGACAGUAUGAGCGUAACCCGCCCAUACUAGGCUUGUUUGGGGUUGAUUAGUAUUUCCUCGCCCUCGUAUUCAGUGGGUUCAAGGAAACCCCUUAUUCGCUGGAUCGGGAAGACUCAGAGAGACGGGAUCAUGGCCUAUGGCUGAGUGAGUACACGGCGGUGUAAUGUGGCAGUGACCCAAAGGACUGUGGGCUGUCGCGCGGUGACCCGAAGGACUGUGGGCCGCGGUCGGUUGAAAGUUCCUUCUUCUGGCCUUUGUGGUAGGAAGAUAGGAUAUUGCCGAUAGAGAGGAGGAACACGAAGUCACCAGGGCCCAGGCUAGAGUGUUGUGUUAGUGUGUCGUAGAGGGUUAUGGAACCCUCGAGUUAAUGUAGCACCAAUAUACGGUGUUACGAGUUAGAUCGAGUCAUUGGUAGUUACUAUCUUAUUAUUGUUGUGGUUGUGGUUGUUGAUUGUUUGUCUUGCAGGUUUUGACAUUAAGUCCUAAGUCUGGUUUAGAUACCGGAUUUGCCUUGGUGUGUAUUUGGUUAGUGUAGGCCUGACGUUGGCUUAUAUGUGUUCGAGUGAUUGCUUGUGAAGGGUGGUGGAUAUUGAAGCUAUGCGGUAUCAUUGGUUGGCCGAUCAUGUUCUUGUCUGAUUGUUGGUCGACCGGUUAAUGAUACUUGUAUAUUCUAAGUGUCUAACACUACAUGAUUACUGAACUAAAGCGUAUAUAUGGUUAACGAGAGA
Molecule: long non-coding RNA, 1033 nt
Filed under: Brassica napus (rape)
Lineage: Eukaryota; Viridiplantae; Streptophyta; Magnoliopsida; Brassicales; Brassicaceae
Description: long non-coding RNA (BNAP_LNC009573)
Source: RNAcentral